UACGUAGGCAGCAAGCGUUGUUCGGAUUUACUGGGCGUAAAGGGUGUGUAGGCGGCCUGUUAAGUUCCGUGUGAAAUCUCCCGGCUCAACCGGGAGGGUGCGCGGAAAACUGGCGGGCUAGAGUGCGGGAUGGGAGAGUAGAAUUCCUGGUGUAGCGGUGAAAUGCGUAGAUAUCAGGAGGAAUACCGGUGGUGUAGACGGCUCUCUGGACCGCAACUGACGCUGAAACACGAAAGCGUGGGUAGCAAACAGG
Molecule: ribosomal RNA, 253 nt
Filed under: uncultured bacterium
Lineage: Bacteria
Description: partial 16S ribosomal RNA
Rfam family: Bacterial small subunit ribosomal RNA
Source: RNAcentral